GCCAGUUGCGGCAGCUAUACAUGCAGUCGACGCACAGCGAAAGGUGCUUGCACCUUUCAAGUGAGUGGCGAACGGGUGAGUAACACGUGGACAACCUGCCUCAAGGCUGGGGAUAACAUUUGGAAACAGAUGCUAAUACCGAAUAAAACUUAGUGUCGCAUGACACAAAGUUAAAAGGCGCUUCGGCGUCACCUAGAGAUGGAUCCGCGGUGCAUUAGUUAGUUGGUGGGGUAAAGGCCUACCAAGACAAUGAUGCAUAGCCGAGUUGAGAGACUGAUCGGCCACAUUGGGACUGAGACACGGCCCAAACUCCUACGGGAGGCUGCAGUAGGGAAUCUUCCACAAUGGGCGAAAGCCUGAUGGAGCAACGCCGCGUGUGUGAUGAAGGCUUUCGGGUCGUAAAGCACUGUUGUAUGGGAAGAACAGCUAGAAUAGGAAAUGAUUUUAGUUUGACGGUACCAUACCAGAAAGGGACGGCUAAAUACGUGCCAGCAGCCGCGGUAAUACGUAUGUCCCGAGCGUUAUCCGGAUUUAUUGGGCGUAAAGCGAGCGCAGACGGUUUAUUAAGUCUGAUGUGAAAGCCCGGAGCUCAACUCCGGAAUGGCAUUGGAAACUGGUUAACUUGAGUGCAGUAGAGGUAAGUGGAACUCCAUGUGUAGCGGUGGAAUGCGUAGAUAUAUGGAAGAACACCAGUGGCGAAGGCGGCUUACUGGACUGCAACUGACGUUGAGGCUCGAAAGUGUGGGUAGCAAACAGGAUUAGAUACCCUGGUAGUCCACACCGUAAACGAUGAACACUAGGUGUUAGGAGGUUUCCGCCUCUUAGUGCCGAAGCUAACGCAUUAAGUGUUCCGCCUGGGGAGUACGACCGCAAGGUUGAAACUCAAAGGAAUUGACGGGGACCCGCACAAGCGGUGGAGCAUGUGGUUUAAUUCGAAGCAACGCGAAGAACCUUACCAGGUCUUGACAUCCUUUGAAGCUUUUAGAGAUAGAAGUGUUCUCUUCGGAGACAAAGUGACAGGUGGUGCAUGGUCGUCGUCAGCUCGUGUCGUGAGAUGUUGGGUUAAGUCCCGCAACGAGCGCAACCCUUAUUGUUAGUUGCCAGCAUUCAGAUGGGCAC
Molecule: ribosomal RNA, 1119 nt
Filed under: Leuconostoc mesenteroides
Lineage: Bacteria; Bacillati; Bacillota; Bacilli; Lactobacillales; Lactobacillaceae
Description: bacterial SSU rRNA
Rfam family: Bacterial small subunit ribosomal RNA
Source: RNAcentral